CUGGCUCAGGAUGAACGCUAGCGGCAGGCUUAACACAUGCAAGUCGAGGGGCAUCGGGAGUAGCAAUACUGCCGGCGACCGGCGCAAGGGUGCGUAACGCGUGAGCAACAUGCCCGUAUCAGGGGGAUAAUCCAUGGAAACGUGGUCUAAUACCCCAUAGUAAUUAUGUAAGGCAUCUUAUAUAAUUUAAAGCUUUGGUGGAUACGGAUUGGCUCGCGUGACAUUAGCUAGAUGGUAAGGUAACGGCUUACCAUGGCUACGAUGUCUAGGGGUUCUGAGAGGAAGGUCCCCCACACUGGAACUGAGACACGGUCCAGACUCCUACGGGAGGCAGCAGUGAGGAAUAUUGGACAAUGGAUGGAAAUCUGAUCCAGCCAUGCCGCGUGCAAGGAAGACGGCCCUAUGGGUUGUAAACUGCUUUUGUAUGGGAGCAAUAAGGGCUACGCGUAGUCCGAUGAGAGUACCAUACGAAUAAGCACCGGCUAACUCCGUGCCAGCCGCGGC
RNAcentral lists this ribosomal RNA (504 nucleotides) under uncultured bacterium. RNAcentral's name for it is "bacterial SSU rRNA". It matches the Rfam family "Bacterial small subunit ribosomal RNA", at positions 19 to 518 of the family's 1533-position model. The record is from RNAcentral.